This is an RNA transcript of Glycine soja, 1328 nucleotides long. RefSeq lists it as uncharacterized. The transcript has 4 exons. The record is from RefSeq and is a predicted model, not a curated record. Lineage: Eukaryota; Viridiplantae; Streptophyta; Magnoliopsida; Fabales; Fabaceae.
AUGUGCUUAAUGGCAGAGCAGAUAUACAAGUUUAAUCAUUCUGAAUACCUUUUCAAGCAUAGCACAAUACUUAAAUCAUUCAUAACAUUAAGGAAUAUCCUGUGCUUUUGUAUCUCUGAAGGCUGUUUUAACUUUGAACUGAGGUGAGUUCAAGUAGAACUGUUGAAGGUUUACGGGAUCUUCAGAUUCCUUCAGGGAUUCAACCUGGAGAUUCUGUGAAGUUGUCGCGUUUGGGAGUUCCAGACAUAAACAAACCAUCUGUUUGAGGCGAUCAUUAUUUCAUUGUGAAUGCUCUUAUUCCCAAGGAUAUCAGUGGCACCGAACGUGUACUUGUUGAGCAGUUAGCUUCACUAAAAGCAUCUAGCAAUAGGGAUUCACUGUCUUCUAAAGACAAUGGGAUACCUAAAGGAAAAUUCAAUGAAUUCAUAAAAAGGGAUCCAAAAGGUUACACUUCAAGCAAGGGAAUAAAAAAUGUUGGCUCUCUAUGGGGAUCAAUCAAGAACUUCUUAAGGGGAGGACAGUCUGAAGAAAGGUUUGCCUCUAUCAGCAUGGUUACGACAGCAUUAUUAUGGAGAUCUGGCCACCAAAAUCCUGUCCCUGAUUACUUUUUUGUUGUUUGCAUUAUAACUUGGAUUUUUGCCUCUAUAGCAAAGUCUAAGCAUUCGAUACUUCAGAAAAGAUCUGAGUCCUUUAAUAGAACACACGGUGAAAAAAAUUAAGGGUAUGCUUGGUUAGAAGAUUAAAAAAUAGGAAGGGUAGUGGAAUGGUUUUGAUUUUUUAGGCCUUGGAGCUUGGUAGAAAGAUGUAUAUUGGUGAUAAGAGGGUAAAAAAAUUAGUUUCAGCUUUUUUUCAAACUAUGAGAGGUCAAAAUUGAGAGAGUGGAGUAGGAAUGAGUUCCACUACACUAAAACACCCCACACCACUGCUAUACGAAGCACGUGUUAGUAAUUUCUUCCAAAAUUCUCUUCUAUUUUUUUUAGUUCUCCUACACUCCUAAAACAUUCUGUGUGAGCUAAGAUUAGUGGUUUGAACUCACCCUAUAUGCUCUCCCACCAUGGCAACCCUUGCUAAAACAUGGUCCUGUCUAAAUAUUUCAAGCAGUGAAGUUACAUUCAAAAUAUCCCUUCAAUUUGGCAUGCCGUGUGAAUUCUUAACAUUAGCAAACUUGUUAAAAGAAACUAGGAAAGUGAAGAGAGAGGAUGGCAACUCAUGUGGUUGGUUAACGCGGUUCUAAAUUGUAUUUGGAUGUGGUAAUUUGUUGUCAAGUUUUUAAUCUGUUUGUUCCAGUUACCAACAUAUGAUGAAAAUAAUAAAAUAGAAUUUUAACA